Molecule: ribosomal RNA, 1437 nt
Filed under: uncultured Eubacteriales bacterium
Lineage: Bacteria; Bacillati; Bacillota; Clostridia; Eubacteriales
Description: bacterial SSU rRNA
Rfam family: Bacterial small subunit ribosomal RNA
Source: RNAcentral
ACGCUGGCGGCGUGCUUAACACAUGCAAGUCGAACGUGAUUAAUAUGGAAAGUUCUUCGGAAAAGGAAAUAUUAUGAAAGUGGCGGACGGGUGAGUAACGCGUGAGUAACCUGCCUUAGACAAGGGGAUAGCCGAUGGAAACGUCGAUUAAUACCCUAUGAAACUGUAAGUACACAUGUAGUAAACAGUCAAAGAUUUAUCGGUCUAAGAUGGACUCGCGUCUGAUUAGCUAGUUGGUAGGGUAAAGGCCUACCAAGGCAACGAUCAGUAGCCGGCUUGAGAGAGUGACCGGCCACAUUGGGACUGAGACACGGCCCAAACUCCUACGGGAGGCAGCAGUGGGGAAUAUUGCACAAUGGAGGGAACUCUGAUGCAGCGACGCCGCGUGAACGAUGAAGGGAUUCGUCUCGUAAAGCUCUGUUCUAUGGAAAGAUAAUGACGGUACCAUAGGAGGAAGCCCCGGCUAAAUACGUGCCAGCAGCCGCGGUAAUACGUAUGGGGCGAGCGUUAUCCGGAAUUAUUGGGCGUAAAGGGUACGUAGGCGGUUUAGAAAGUCAGAUGUUAAAGCGUAGGGCCCAACCCUAUAAAGCAUCUGAAACUAAUAAACUUGAGUGAAGGAGAGGAAAGUGGAAUUCCUAGUGUAGCGGUGAAAUGCGUAGAUAUUAGGAGGAAUACCAGUGGCGAAGGCGACUUUCUGGACUUUAACUGACGCUGAGGUACGAAAGCGUGGGGAGCAAACAGGAUUAGAUACCCUGGUAGUCCACGCUGUAAACGAUGAAUGCUAGGUAUUGGGAGUCAAAUCUCAGUGCCGCAGUUAACACAUUAAGCAUUCCGCCUGGGGAGUACGGUGGCAACACUGAAACUCAAAGGAAUUGACGGGGACCCGCACAAGCAGCGGAGCAUGUGGUUUAAUUCGAUGCAACGCGAAGAACCUUACCAGGGCUUGACAUAUAGUUGAAAAAUAUAGAGAUAUAAAAUAUUCUUCGGAAGCAGCUAUACAGGUGGUGCAUGGUUGUCGUCAGCUCGUGUCGUGAGAUGUUGGGUUAAGUCCCGCAACGAGCGCAACCCUUAUACUUAGUUGCCAACAGUAAGAUGGGGACUCUAAGUAGACUGCCGAUGACAAAUCGGAGGAAGGUGGGGAUGACGUCAAAUCAUCAUGCCCUUUAUGUCCUGGGCUACACACGUGCUACAAUGGUCGGUACAAAGGGAAGCAACAUAGUGAUAUGAAGCCAACCUCAAAAAGCCGAUCCCAGUUCGGAUUGUAGGCUGCAACUCGCCUACAUGAAGCCGGAGUUGCUAGUAAUCGUGAAUCAGAAUGUCACGGUGAAUGCGUUCCCGGGUCUUGUACACACCGCCCGUCACACCAUGGGAGCUUGUAAUACCCGAAGUAGUUAAGCUAACCGCAAGGAGGCAGACUCCGAAGGUAGGACAAGUGAC